GAGUUUGAUCCUGGCUCAGAACGAACGCUGGCGGCGUGCCUAACACAUGCAAGUCGAACGUGAUCCAGAGCUUGCUCUGGUGAAAGUGGCGCACGGGUGAGUAACGCGUGGAUAACCUACCCUGGUAUCCGGGAUAACAUUCCGAAAGGGGUGCUAAUACCGGAUAAGCCCACGGGCUCUUUGGAGCUUGCGGGAAAAGGUGGCCUCUAUUUAUAAGCUACUGUAUCAGGAUGGGUCCGCGUACCAUUAGCUAGUUGGCGGUGUAACGGACCACCAAGGCGACGAUGGUUAGCUGGUCUGAGAGGAUGAUCAGCCACACUGGAACUGAGACACGGUCCAGACUCCUACGGGAGGCAGCAGUGGGGAAUUUUGCGCAAUGGGGGAAACCCUGACGCAGCAACGCCUCGUGAGUGAUGAAGGCCUUUGGGUCGUAAAGCCCUGUCAGAGGGGAAGAAAUGAUAUAGUGCUAAUACCACUUUAUCUUGACGGUACCCUCAAAGGAAGCACCGGCUAACUCCGUGCCAGCAGCCGCGGUAAUAC
This 540-nucleotide ribosomal RNA is filed under the name uncultured Geobacteraceae bacterium. RNAcentral's name for it is "bacterial SSU rRNA". It matches the Rfam family "Bacterial small subunit ribosomal RNA", at positions 9 to 526 of the family's 1533-position model. Lineage: Bacteria; Pseudomonadati; Thermodesulfobacteriota; Desulfuromonadia; Geobacterales; Geobacteraceae. The record is from RNAcentral.